Molecule: ribosomal RNA, 495 nt
Filed under: uncultured bacterium
Lineage: Bacteria
Description: partial 16S ribosomal RNA
Rfam family: Bacterial small subunit ribosomal RNA
Source: RNAcentral
GAUGAACGCUGGCGGCGUGCCUAAUACAUGCCAGUAGAACGCUGAAGGAGGAGCUUGCUCUUCUGGAUGAGUUGCGAACGGGUGAGUAACGCGUAGGUAACCUGCCUGGUAGCGGGGGAUAACUAUUGGAAACGAUAGCUAAUACCGCAUGACAACAGUUAUUGCAUGAUAACUGUUUAAAAGGGGCAACUGCUCCACUACCAGAUGGACCUGCGUUGUAUUAGCUAGUUGGUGAGGUAACGGCUCACCAAGGCGACGGUACAUAGCCGACCUGGGAGGGUGAUCGGCCACACUGGGACUGAGACACGGCCCAGACUCCUACGGGAGGCAGCAGUAGGGAAUCUUCGGCAAUGGACGGAAGUCUGACCGAGCAACGCCGCGUGAGUGAAGGAAGUUUUCGGAUCGUAAAGCUCUGUUGUAAGAGAAGAACGAGUGUUAGAGUGGAAAGUUCACACUGUGACGGUAUCUUACCAGAAAGGGACGGCUAACUACGUG